GGCAACAUCUUUUUUGGUUGGUUUUUUUUCAUCAUAUUUUCUUGUCGUCAAAGAGAUCAGAGUUGCGCCAUACCUUUAAAUAAUUUAGGCCAGUUAUUUUCCUGCUUCUCAGCACCAUUCGUAUUUAUAAAGCUGUGCAGUAUAUCAAGAUGACGAAAGGGACAAGCAGCUUCGGAAAGUGGCGCAACAAAAGCCACACGUUGUGCAAUCGGUGUGGAAAACGAUCUUACCAUACGCAAAAGAAACGGUGCGCUAGCUGUAACUUUCCGGCGGCUAAGAUGCGAUCAUUUAAAUGGUCUAAGAAAGCCAUUUCGAAACGAACAACCGGUGCUGGUCGCUUGCGUUAUCUCAAGCACAUUCGCCGUUGCAUGCGUAAUGGAGUCAACGCACGAAAAGCGAAAUAGUGAGCUGCCCUGAAGCAUGUUGGACUCGGUCACGCAUUCAAACCGGAACAUGGGAUUAAGCCAAACGCUCUGCAUGACAAUUAGAGCAAAUUACACAUCAAGCGCAAAAGUCACCUUAAAGUGUGAUUGAUUUCCAAUCCGUGUGUUGCAAUCGUUCAAUCAUCGUCGCAAGAUUGAUGGAAAUCAUUGCGGUAAGGAAUGAACUUCUUACGUGAGAAAAAUAAUAAACAGAAAUUAUAA
Anopheles arabiensis is the source of this 644-nucleotide RNA transcript. It is a transcript of the gene named 60S ribosomal protein L37-like, with no coding region annotated. The transcript has 4 exons. NCBI's taxonomy places the organism in Eukaryota, Metazoa, Arthropoda, Insecta, Diptera, Culicidae. The record is from RefSeq and is a predicted model, not a curated record.